AGCUUUGAGCAGUGGCAAUAUCGUAACCAAUGAGGUCUAUCCGAGGUGCGAUUAUUGCUAGUUUUUUGUCUGACCUUCAAUGAGGGAAUAUAUAUAUAUAUUGGUGAUUAAUCCUUAUGAACAUUAACAUUAAU
Daktulosphaira vitifoliae (grape phylloxera) is the source of this 134-nucleotide small nuclear RNA. RefSeq annotates it as U4 spliceosomal RNA. The record is from RefSeq and is a predicted model, not a curated record. The transcript has a single exon. Lineage: Eukaryota; Metazoa; Arthropoda; Insecta; Hemiptera; Phylloxeridae.